UACGAAGGGGGCUAGCGUUGUUCGGAUUUACUGGGCGUAAAGCGCACGUAGGCGGUUUUGUUAAGUCAGGGGUGAAAUCCCAGAGCUCAACUCUGGAACUGCCUUUGAUACUGGCAAGCUCGAGUCCGGAAGAGGUAAGUGGAACUCCUAGUGUAGAGGUGGAAUUCGUAGAUAUUAGGAAGAACACCAGUGGCGAAGGCGGCUUA
Molecule: ribosomal RNA, 206 nt
Filed under: uncultured bacterium
Lineage: Bacteria
Description: partial 16S ribosomal RNA
Rfam family: Bacterial small subunit ribosomal RNA
Source: RNAcentral